UACGGAGGGGGCUAGCGUUGUUCGGAAUUACUGGGCGUAAAGCGCACGUAGGCGGCUUUGUAAGUUAGAGGUGAAAGCCCGGGGCUCAACUCCGGAAUUGCCUUUAAGACUGCAUCGCUAGAAUUGUGGAGAGGUAAGUGGGAUUCCGAGUGUAGAGGUGAAAUUCGUAGAUAUUCGGAAGAACACCAGUGGCGAAGGCGACUUACUGGACACAUAUUGACGCUGAGGUGCGAAAGCGUGGGGAGCAAACAGG
RNAcentral lists this ribosomal RNA (253 nucleotides) under uncultured bacterium. RNAcentral's name for it is "partial 16S ribosomal RNA". It matches the Rfam family "Bacterial small subunit ribosomal RNA", at positions 524 to 776 of the family's 1533-position model. The record is from RNAcentral.